RNAcentral lists this ribosomal RNA (506 nucleotides) under uncultured bacterium. Its description in RNAcentral is "partial 16S ribosomal RNA". It matches the Rfam family "Bacterial small subunit ribosomal RNA", at positions 29 to 523 of the family's 1533-position model. The record is from RNAcentral.
AUUGAACGCUGGCGGCAGGCCUAACACAUGCAAGUCGAACGGCAGCACAGAAGAGCUUGCUCUUUGGGUGGCGAGUGGCGGACGGGUGAGUAAUGUCUGGGAAACUGCCCGAUGGAGGGGGAUAACUACUGGAAACGGUAGCUAAUACCGCAUAACGUCGCAAGACCAAAGUGGGGGACCUUCGGGCCUCACACCAUCGGAUGUGCCCAGAUGGGAUUAGCUAGUAGGUGGGGUAAUGGCUCACCUAGGCGACGAUCCCUAGCUGGUCUGAGAGGAUGACCAGCCACACUGGAACUGAGACACGGUCCAGACUCCUACGGGAGGCAGCAGUGGGGAAUAUUGCACAAUGGGCGCAAGCCUGAUGCAGCCAUGCCGCGUGUAUGAAGAAGGCCUUCGGGUUGUAAAGUACUUUCAGCGGGGAGGAAGGCGGUGAGGUUAAUAACCUUGCCGAUUGACGUUACCCGCAGAAGAAGCACCGGCUAACUCCGUGCCAGCAGCCGCCGCGG